This 440-nucleotide ribosomal RNA is filed under the name uncultured bacterium. RNAcentral describes it as "partial 16S ribosomal RNA". It matches the Rfam family "Bacterial small subunit ribosomal RNA", at positions 338 to 795 of the family's 1533-position model. The record is from RNAcentral.
CCUACGGGAGGCUGCAGUGGGGGAUAUUGCACAAUGGGGGGAACCCUGAUGCAGCGACGCCGCGUGGGUGAAGAAGCGCCUCGGCGCGUAAAGCCCUGUCAGCAGGGAAGAAAAUGACGGUACCUGAAGAAGAAGCCCUGGCUAACUACGUGCCAGCAGCCGCGGUAAUACGUAGGGGGCAAGCGUUAGCCGGAUUUACUGGGUGUAAAGGGGGCGCAGACGGCGAUGCAAGCCAGGAGUGAAAGCCCGGGGCUCAACCCCGGGACUGCUCUUGGAACUGCGUGGCUGGAGUGCAGGAGGGGCAGGCGGAAUUCCUGGUGUAGCGGUGAAAUGCGUAGAUAUCAGGAGGAACACCGGUGGCGAAGGCGGUCUGCUGGACUGCAACUGACGUUGAGGCCCGAAAGCGUGGGGAGCAAACAGGAUUAGAUACCCUAGUAGUC